UGUUAAAAAUUUCAUCAAUUUUAAUUGUUAAAAAUUGGUGUGACUGACGAAAUAACCAAACAAUUAUAUGUGGUGUGCCACGUGUACCUUAUACUGACGUACAAAAAUAAAUUUUUAACAGUAGAAAUUGAUGGAAUUUUUAACA
This is a non-coding RNA of Gossypium hirsutum (cotton), 145 nucleotides long. The record is from Rfam. NCBI's taxonomy places the organism in Eukaryota, Viridiplantae, Streptophyta, Magnoliopsida, Malvales, Malvaceae.